CUCAUGCCUCCGGCAUAUUCUCUCUCACACGCAGGCAGGAACACUUCCAUAAAGAAGACUAGAAUGACAGAGACAAACACCACUCUCACCACCACAUGAUCAGGAAGGAAAAUGGCCCUGUUAUCCUACAACAAUGGGUAAACAAAAAAUGGGCAGAAUCUACCCAUCCCCUCUCCAAAGGGGAAAGUAUGGUCAUUCAACAAAAGAGAAGAAUUCCAAGAAUUUGUAAAGAAAAGACCAAACCUGAAUAGAAAAUUUGAUGCCCAAGCACAGAACUCAAGAGAAUCAUCAAAAGGUAAUUUAAAAAGAGGGAAAAAAGAAAAACAAAACAAAACAAAACCCUCCAAAAAACACUUUUUUUAAGAGACUCAAUAAGUUAAAAUGAUAUGUAUCCCUAUAAGAAAAGAGGUUAUAGGUAACUCUUAAAAAUUGUUAUUUUCAACUGGACAGCUAGAAGAAUUACACUUAGAGGGA
Molecule: long non-coding RNA, 474 nt
Filed under: Monodelphis domestica (gray short-tailed opossum)
Lineage: Eukaryota; Metazoa; Chordata; Mammalia; Didelphimorphia; Didelphidae
Description: lncRNA (ENSMODG00000034564.2)
Source: RNAcentral